This 1311-nucleotide long non-coding RNA is filed under the name Monodelphis domestica (gray short-tailed opossum). RNAcentral's name for it is "lncRNA (ENSMODG00000046759.1)". The record is from RNAcentral. Lineage: Eukaryota; Metazoa; Chordata; Mammalia; Didelphimorphia; Didelphidae.
CGUCAUCAUCUUUCCAAAUCUUGAUUUUCUCACCUUAUGUGUCAGUUAUAAUUCCUAGUUUUGUGUCAUUUGGAUUUGGAUAAGCAGAUUGCCUAAGCCUUUAUCCAAGGUGCUGAUGCUUUAAAUAGUCAAGCCCAUAAUUUUUGGUCAAUGUCCUUCCAAAAAAGACAAUAUUUGUGAAUAUUUCGUCUUCAGAAAUGCUUCCAUGUAAAAACCAAUCUGACAGUGGUUUAUGGUCUUGAGAUGCAGGGGGUCACCCUACAGUUUGGGGAACAUUAUUGCUGGUGGCUGAACCAUUUGUAGAGAGCCUAAGCACACUAAUCAAUCCCUUGAAGGGUACCAGAGAACGUUGAGAGGGGAGAUUUGAAAUGGAAGAACCCUAGAUUAGAGACAUUGGGGACUUGUGUGUGAUGUUACAUAGACUCCCCUUAUUUCCCCACCCAGGGUGGCAUCCCUUGUUACCAAGAUUUUAGUAGGGAAAAAAUGCAGUUCAGUAAAAUCAUCAACAUCUUCUAUCGAUUAUCCUCCACCUUGACCAUGAAGGGAACAAAGGACAAUUUCUUAACCCUUCUCAUGUGGCACCUUGGUCAUCAUUUCACUCCAUCCAGUUUAGAUGGCUUUGUUGCUGACAUUUCCUUCCCAUUCACAUGAUCAUAGUCAUUGUGUGUCUUUUUUCCUUAGAUUUGAACCCAAGGGAUUAUCUUUGGAACUUUGGACACGUUGCUGGGCCUCCAUCCCUCCCAGGAGCUUGUCCAUACUAGCCGAAAGCCCAGGAUAUUCGGAUACCGAGGUUUCUUUGAGGCACCACAAUCCAAGGAGUUGAAUCCAGUGGGCAAACCAACAGUAGGAGCAGAGAUUGUGUUGGAGCGGCCAUGGCUGGAUUAAGAAGAAACGUAUUGAAUAUGGAGAAGGUGGUGACCCUUUGAGUGAAGCAACUCACAUCUGCAAUGACUUCAUCAUGCAUGGGGACCAUUUGUGGUCUCUGGCCCAUCUCUGUGGUCAUAUGGCGCCCUCUUUUUGGGUUAGGACCCCUGUGGCUCGUCCUGACUCAGCUUAACCUGUAAAUCUACAGGGAUGGAGAGCGGGCACCAUUUUUUAGCCAUUGGCCACUGGGAGCCAAGGGGCACCAUUCAGAAACUGAUUUCAGAAGGUCUCCACGAGAAUCCUCCUCUGAUGUCUCCUCGUGGCCUAGAGUAGAGCUGAGUGAGACUCUUCUCUCUUCUUCAUACUACUAGACAUUUUAAUUUAUGUUAGUAGGACUUAACUAUGGAGGAAAGACCCUUAUUGGCGCCAGUCAGUGACUCUUUGAAC